Molecule: long non-coding RNA, 205 nt
Filed under: Ananas comosus (pineapple)
Lineage: Eukaryota; Viridiplantae; Streptophyta; Magnoliopsida; Poales; Bromeliaceae
Description: long non-coding RNA (ACOM_LNC020462)
Source: RNAcentral
AACUAGUAUGCUUAUCUCCCAUUAAUUAUAACAAGAGCAAAUUAGAUUUAGACUCCGUUUAAAAUUACGAAAAGAUUGCAUUAAUUACGUACUGUGAGAAAGUAUGUGUAAUAUCGUGUUCUGCAUAUCGUAGAAGCAUAUCUUUAUAUAUUUUCGUCUCAACUAUUUUAUCUAUAAGCAUUUAUACGACAAAUAACCACUUAAU